GAAAGGCUAGGAAAGGCUUUCCAACAUAAAUACUCUCAGGUCACCCAUACACCUCAGGAACUCCUCAGUCAUCUCUGUGAGUAAGCUCAGUAAAUUCAUUUGUUCCCCAGGAAAGCCUUAGUCAAACACUGGGUUGACACUGGAAACUUAGAAAGGAAUAGACAUUGCUUGAAGUUGGAGGGGAAUUCUCACAACAGAUGGAAUAUUUAUUUGUUGAUAUUAUGUCUCAUGGUUUUUAAAAAAGAAAAUACAAAGUUAAAAGAUAGUAGAAGGAUAUGGGAAUGGAGAUAUUUUACUAAGAAGAAUUUAUGAAUGCAGAUUAUGAUGGCUGGAUAUUUCCAGAAUUAACAAAAGGAAAAAAAAUGAGAAAGCCUAAGCAAGUAAUAAAGGUCUGUGUAGAUUUAAAGAUGUUAUUAAGGAGGAUUUAUGUAUAGGAUGAAUAAAAAAGCCUAAGCAAAUGAUAAAGGUCUGUAUAUGUUUGUUAUGAUUUAUCAACGAUGGAACAGGGAUAACAUACAGACAAUCAUGAGGUCAUAACUCAGUCAACUAGUUUAAGGCUGUCUAGUAAAGAUUUAUUGAAGAAUAUUGCCCAAGCUUUAUCUGCAUAACAAUGACUACUGAAAGAUGUCUUUUAUGUUUCUUUGUAUUAUGCAACUGUUACUUUUGCUUUUGUUACUUUCUUUACCCAUAACAAGAAUGAUUUGACUCAAGAAAACUAGGUCUACCUCCUUGAACCAGAUGUAUGCAAUCUAGAAGAAAACAGUGUCUGUGAAGCUUGGUCUGAAUUCUGUUUAUUUCCUGUCGAUAGCCACUCCAACAGCUAUCAAGAGUACCUGAAAACAAAUCCUAAGUUCAUCGCUUUCGAGUCCAGUCUUGGUGGCCCAAAGAAAAAUGAAAAAGAACCCAAUAGAUGAAUGCUUUUGAAAGCCCUCAUCAAAAAAUUCCAAUGGAUUUUAAGUGUUUAAACUUUGCCUUGUUCUGAUUUUUUUCUGGUUCCCUGUCUAGAACUUGUAAUGGCUCUGCAAAAUGCUUGGAGCCAGGUACAUGGACUAGUGCAGGAGGCUCAUGAGCCCAGUCAUCCCUCACUGACCACUGAACAGACAGAUAUGGAACCUGGUGAUUGGAUUUGAGUCCACAGACAUCAAGCACCUAACCUCGAACCCAAGUGGGCUGGUCCAUACCCAAUCAUCUUGCUGACUCCAACUGCUGUUAAAGUUGCUGGACAUGCCCACUGGAUUCACCAUUCUCAAGUUAAGAGAGCUCAUCCAGACCACAUUCCUCAAACAUGGACGGUAAAAAGGACAAUCCUCUCAAAGUAAAACUGGUAAAAGAAUCUUAAUUAUGUUCUCCUUCUGGAUAAUAAAAACUGUAACUGGGUACAGUGACUGAAAUCCCCAUGAGCCAUCCCCUGAUAAUUGGGUAUUAAAAAGAACUUCAGAUGGUAAGAUAUUAGCCACUAACACUAUCACUAACCACUCCCCCGGCUUUCUGUUUGGCCUUUUUGAUCACUUUUCUUUACAAGUAAGAGUAACUAUUCCUGUCCCAUCUCCUCAACCCUGGGGAUAUGGAACUCCUAGUCAUGAAACAAAUUGCAAAGCUUACAGGUUUAUGGAUGCCCAUCAGAUGGGAGUCCAGACUGUAACCAUGAAAAUGAAUGGCAUUAUGGAACUUGGGGUUAUGAGACAUUUGCUUCCUGGAUCAGAUCAAAGGAUAAAUGGAUUUCCUUUCAGCAUGGCACUCAUGGUAUAACUAUGGAAAAACUUAACUUACUCCCUUGAUUCUUUAGCUGAGGUAAUGUUACAAAACUGCCGAGGGCUAGAUCUUGUUUUUAUGCAACAAGGAGGAUUAUGCAUGGCACUGAGUGAAAAAUGUUGCUGCUAUGCUAACCAUACUGGAGUGAUUAGAGAUAGUAUUAGGUUAGUCCAGCAAUGAAUUAGUGCUCGAGAAAGGGAUCUCAGUAAUCACCAAAACUGGUAUGAGUCCUUAUUUUCCUGGUCACCCUGGCUGACCACCUUGUUAAGUGCUGUUCCUGGGCCUAUGAUUCUUAUUCUUUUAAUUUUUACCCUUGGGCCUUGUAUCUUAAAUGACCUUGUAAAAUUUAUUUAUCAGAGACUCCAGGCAGUAAAGCUCAUGAUAUUAAGAACCCAAUAUGAACAAUUAAUACCAGUGCAUGAAGAAAGCUGUACCUAAUAGGUCAAAGAAUUAACCUUACUCACAACAGGAGUGGGGAAGGAACUGGCUCAGCAAACUUACCUAAAUUACUCCCUUUUGUUCAGAGCCAUUUUAGCAGCAACUUUGCUCCACACCAAAAGGAAAAGGGGGGCAACCUUGGGUCUUGGGAAAUUGUCCUAGCCAUGAAUCAUGGAAUGUGCUAAUUCCAGACAUUAUACAUCUGGCUAACCAGCUUGUUUUCACUUCUGUAAUCCGCUUGCUAUCUUGGGUCACCUUGACACAGGGCAUAAGACCAACCUUGUUAUCCUGUUACUGUACGACCACCUGGUAACUGCUGAGUUCAGCUUUCUUACUAUAAUUGUUAUGGCUAGGGAGUUGACUAAUUUUAAAGUUACAAAGUUGAUUGCCAAGUUAUAUGACUGUAUCACUUGUCUGUAUAAUGACUGGUUGUUGAUGAA
Long non-coding RNA from Nannospalax galili (Upper Galilee mountains blind mole rat), 2630 nucleotides. RefSeq lists it as uncharacterized. NCBI's taxonomy places the organism in Eukaryota, Metazoa, Chordata, Mammalia, Rodentia, Spalacidae. The transcript is spliced from 3 exons. The record is from RefSeq and is a predicted model, not a curated record.